RNAcentral lists this ribosomal RNA (490 nucleotides) under Drosophila kambysellisi. Its description in RNAcentral is "partial 16S ribosomal RNA". Lineage: Eukaryota; Metazoa; Arthropoda; Insecta; Diptera; Drosophilidae. The record is from RNAcentral.
GUCUUUUUGAAUUAAAUUUAAAGUCUAACCUGCCCACUGAAAUUUUUUAAAUGGCCGCAGUAUUCUAACUGUGCAAAGGUAGCAUAAUCAUUAGUCUUUUAAUUGAAGGCUGGAAUGAAUGGUUGGACGAAAUAUUAACUGUUUCAUUUAAAUUUUUUGUAGAAUUUUAUUUUUUAGUCAAAAAGCUAAAAUAAAUUUAAAAGACGAGAAGACCCUAUAAAUCUUUAUAUUUUGUUUAUUUUAAUUAUAAAGAUUAUUUUUAUUAUAAUAAAUUAAAAUAUUUUAUUGGGGUGAUAUUAAAAUUUAAAAAACUUUUAAUUUUUAAAACCAUUAAUUUAUGAAUAAUUGAUCCAUUAAUAAUGAUUAAAAAUUUAAGUUACUUUAGGGAUAACAGCGUAAUUUUUUUGGAGAGUUCAUAUCGAUAAAAAAGAUUGCGACCUCGAUGUUGGAUUAAGAUAUAAUUUUGGGUGUAGCCGUUCAAAUUUUAAGU